Non-coding RNA from Phrynosoma platyrhinos (Desert horned lizard), 74 nucleotides. The record is from the annotation of a GenBank genome assembly. Lineage: Eukaryota; Metazoa; Chordata; Lepidosauria; Squamata; Phrynosomatidae.
GAGCCAGCCUGGCCCAGUGGUGUGAGCCUUGGCCUGGGACUCUAGAGACCAGGGUUCGAUUCCCAGCUGGGCCA